Anthonomus grandis grandis is the source of this 273-nucleotide long non-coding RNA. RefSeq lists it as uncharacterized. NCBI's taxonomy places the organism in Eukaryota, Metazoa, Arthropoda, Insecta, Coleoptera, Curculionidae. The transcript has 3 exons. The record is from RefSeq and is a predicted model, not a curated record.
GAUCACCGAGGAUCUGGAGAGAAAGAAAGAGCAAGAGAGAGAGAAACGUCUAUCUCAGGGUUUAAGGGCAACUGAGAACAUUUUCCUUAUUUCCUGAAGCUUAAGUUGCUCACUUCAACCCUUUGAAGGAAAAAAGAAGCAAGAAAAAGGUCACUGGGUCCAUUCAACCCUUUCUUCAAUAUCCAUCAACUGUUGCUUGAAGGGUUAGAAAAAUUCCUGCCCGAUGAUGCCUAUAUCAGGGUCAGUGGAAAGCUUCAUAUAUCACUCACGAGG